UACGUAGGGGGCAAGCGUUGUCCGGAAUCAUUGGGCGUAAAGCGCGUGUAGGCGGCUCGAUAAGUCUGCUGUGAAAGUUCAGGGCUCAACCCUGAAAUGCCGGUGGAAACUGUCGAGCUAGAGUCCGGAAGAGGCGAGUGGAAUUCCUGGUGUAGCGGUGAAAUGCGCAGAUAUCAGGAGGAACACCAAUGGCGAAGGCAGCUCGCUGGGACGAUACUGACGCUGAGACGCGAAAGCGUGGGGAGCAAACAGG
Molecule: ribosomal RNA, 253 nt
Filed under: uncultured bacterium
Lineage: Bacteria
Description: partial 16S ribosomal RNA
Rfam family: Bacterial small subunit ribosomal RNA
Source: RNAcentral